GUCUGCCUAACUGCAAAACGAUUUGGUUGGCUUAUAAAUUGCUGCCUGUAUCAUGUGCUUCUGAAUUAAAAGGAACGGAUGGUUUUUAAAGGUUUAUCUGUUUCAUUAUUAAUGCAGAAUGACUUCCUGCUGACAAAUUUCUAUUUUCACACAAUUUCUUUGCUGAUGCAGUAUCUCUGCCACCCAUGCUCUAGGGCAGCGUGGAGCCACUUCAGAGCACGCCUUUUGUGACCCAGCGCCCAGCAGGGUGUUCUUUUCUGAGUGCAAAGAGAGAAUCCACUGACCUCAUUUGCUUCCAUCCUGUGAACCUCUCAGUGGGUUUCAGAACACCAGGGUCUGAGCAGAGAAGCUUCAGAAUACUUUCUCCGACUAGAGAACUUUUUUAUGGUGGGAGGAAAAAGUGUUGCCAGUCCCACUUCACAGACACCUGGAAUUCAUGAAGUCUGAGGACUUCUUUCAUUUUACUUUCAACUAAAAGCUCUAGCAUGAAACAGCAAAGGCUCACAGAGCUAAAGAUCAGGAGGUGGCCCUUUGAGAGGGUAUUCCGCCUGGAUCCCUGGUGAAACUCCAUCAUUGAGCAGCAUAUCUGCUUCAGAAAGCGUGGAAAGAAAAGAGCCUGGUGGGAAAAGUCUAUCAAGUGAUAAUGACGUGCCCUUAU
Molecule: small RNA, 658 nt
Filed under: Pongo abelii (Sumatran orangutan)
Lineage: Eukaryota; Metazoa; Chordata; Mammalia; Primates; Hominidae
Description: sense intronic
Source: RNAcentral